UCAACUGAAGAGUUUGAUCCUGGCUCAGAUUGAACGCUGGCGGCAUGGCUAAAACAUGCAAGUCGAACGAUCCCUUCGGGGAGAGUGGCGAAAGGGCGAGGAAUAGAAUCGAAUGUAUCCCAAGGUGGAGGAUAGCUUCUGGAAACGGAAGGUAAUACUCCAUGUGCUCUACGGAGGAAAGGUUUACCGCCUUGGGAGCGGCGAUUCUCCUAUCAGGUAGUUGGUGAGGUAAAAGCUCACCAAGCCGAAGACGGGUAGCGGGUGUGAGAGCAUGACCCGCCGCAUCGGGACUGAGACACUGCCCGGACUCCUACGGGAGGCUGCAGUAACGAAUCUUCCGCAAUGGGCGAAAGCCUGACGGAGCAAUGCCGCGUGUGGGAUCAAGCAUCUUCGAUGUGUAAACCACUGUCAGGGUCUAGGAAUACUGACCAGACCCAGAGGAAGGGCCGGCUAAUUCAGUGCCAGCAGCCGCGGUAAUACUGAAGGCCCGAGCGUUAAUCGGAAUCACUGGGCUUAAAGCGUACGCAGGCGGACUUGUAGGUAUUUUGUGAAAUCCCACGGCUUAACCGUGGAACUGCAGAGUAAACCACAAGUCUUGAGACAUGUAGGGGUCAGUGGAACCAUGAGNGGAGCGGUGAAAUGCGUAGAUAUUCAUGGGAACGCCAAUGGCGAAGGCAGCUGACUGGGCAUGUUCUGACGCUCAGGUACGAAAGCGUGGGUAGCGAACGGGAUUAGAUACCCCGGUAGUCCACGCCGUAAACGAUGCACACUAGGUCGUGGGAACUCUCAUGUUCUCGCGGCCGAAGGUAAACUGGUAAGUGUGCCGCCUGGGGAGUACGGUCGCAAGGCUAAAACUCAAAGGAAUUGACGGGGGCUCACACAAGCGGUGGAGCAUGUUGCUUAAUUCGAGGCAACGCGAAGAACCUUACCUGGGCUUGACAUGUAUGGAUUAGCUUAUGGAAACAUAAGUGACGCCCUUGGGUGGAACAUACACAGGUGCUGCAUGGCUGUCGUCAGCUCGUGCUGUGAAGUGUCGGGNUAAGUCCCUUAACGAGCGCAACCCCUAUCGUUAGUUACUAACGCGUUAUGGCGAGGACUCUAGCGAGACUGCCGGUGUCAAACCGGAGGAAGGUGGGGAUGACGUCAAGUCCUCAUGGCCUUUAUGCCCAGGGAUGCAAACGUGCUACAAUGGUACGGACAAAGCGAUGCAAUACCGCGAGGUGGAGCAAAUCGCAAAAACCGUGCCCCAGUUCGGAUAGCAGGCUGAAAUUCGCCUGCUUGAAGCCGGAAUCGCUAGUAAUCGCGUAUCAGCUACGACGCGGUGAAUACGUUCCUGAGCCUUGUACACACCGCCCGUCACGUCAUGGAAGCUGCUAGUGCCCGAAGUCACCUCGUUUCAGGGGUGCCUACGGCAAGAGUGGUGACUGGGACGAAGUCGUAACAAGGUAGCCGUAGGAGAACCUGCGGCUGGAUCACCUCCUUUCUAAGG
Molecule: ribosomal RNA, 1489 nt
Filed under: Phycisphaerae bacterium
Lineage: Bacteria; Pseudomonadati; Planctomycetota; Phycisphaerae
Description: bacterial SSU rRNA
Rfam family: Bacterial small subunit ribosomal RNA
Source: RNAcentral